RNAcentral lists this unclassified non-coding RNA (452 nucleotides) under Hevea brasiliensis (rubber tree). The record is from RNAcentral. Lineage: Eukaryota; Viridiplantae; Streptophyta; Magnoliopsida; Malpighiales; Euphorbiaceae.
AACGAACGCACUUUCAGAUUUAAUGAUAGCGAGAUUCAGGGAACAAAAUCUUGAGGUCAAAUGCAGGCUGGCGAGACGUUACAAUUUGAAUGUGAGCAACUAAAUUGGUGCAGAAUUUCCCUGAAACUCUAUACUACAAUGUCAAAAGCUGUAUUUAAAUUGUACAGGCUGGAGGGUCUUUGUGCUGUCACAAAGUAGGCAUUUUUCCUGGCUGUACAAAACAUAUAUAAUCAACAAAAAGAAAUAUCUCUGUAUGGUAAUCUUGGAGCCAUUGUCUGAAUCAGUGUCUUCAAGUCGAAUUUGGUGUCUCUUCCUUACCUUGGACUAUUUGGCUUCACCUAAUUCUUUAUCCAACAGGUAUGGCUUCCACAGCUGUGAUUUGGUACUGAUAUGAGAAGGUAAAAUGAAUCCAGGACCAUAAAAUUCUAAUUCAAAGGGCACCCAUGUUGUUG